This 251-nucleotide ribosomal RNA is filed under the name uncultured bacterium. Its description in RNAcentral is "partial 16S ribosomal RNA". It matches the Rfam family "Bacterial small subunit ribosomal RNA", at positions 650 to 902 of the family's 1533-position model. The record is from RNAcentral.
AGGAGAUGAAAGCGGAAUGCUUCGUGUAGCGGUGAAAUGCGUAGAUAUUAGGAGGAGCACCAGUGCCGCAGGCGGCUUUCGGACUGUAACUGACACUGAGGCACGAAAGCGUGGGGAGCAAACAGGAUUAGAUACCCUGGUAGUCCACGCUGUAAACGAUGGAUACUAGGUGUGGGGGAGAUACAACAUCCGUGCCGCAGCAAACGCAAUAAGUAUCCCGCCUGGGGAGUACGGCCGCAAGGGUGUAACUC